AAUAUAAACACACGUAUUGUAUGUUGUAAACAUUGGGAACUGAGAAGAGGCGUCCGGCGACAAGAUGCUGCGUCAUCCUAUGAGAGCGUUCGUAAAACAGACAGAAAAUGUGGAAACAACAAAGCUAUAAUCUUUGUCGUCGUCGUUUCUUGAAAAAAAAAAAAAAAAUCAUCAUCAUGGCCUCUGGAGCUUUGUUCCCCAGCAUGGUUUCCGGUUCUCGCGGCUCCUCCAGCAAGUACCUGGUGGAGUUCCGAGCCGGCAAGAUGACCAUGAAGGGCAGCACGGUGACGCCCGACAAGCGCAAAGGCCAAGUCUACGUCCAGCAGACGGACGACUCGCUCAUCCAUUUCUGCUGGAAGGAUCGCACCACCGGCAACGUGGAUGAUGACCUCAUCAUCUUCCCUGACGACUGCGAGUUCAAACGGGUCAGCCAGUGCACCACCGGACGCGUCUACGUACUGAAGUUUAAAGCCGGCUCCAAACGGCUUUUCUUCUGGAUGCAGGAAGCCAAGACCGACAAAGACGAGGAGUACUGUCGCAAAGUCAACGAGUACCUCAACAACCCGCCCAUGCCCGGCACGCUGGGUAGCGGCGGCAGCGGAGGACACGAUCUGUCCGCUCUGGGAGGCGAGGGCGGCCUGCAGAGCCUUCUGGGUAACAUGAGCCACAACCAGCUCAUGCAGCUGAUCGGACCGGCCGGACUCGGGGGUAUCGGCGGUCUGGGCGCACUCGCCGGUCCGGGCCUGGCCAACCUCUUGGGCAGCGGCGGCGGCGGCGGCGGCGGCAGCGGCGGCAGCAGCACCAGCAGCAGCAGCGUUCCUGCUGCCAGCAACUCCUCCACAAGCCCGUCCACCGCGGUGACGCCGACCUCGACCUCCGCCGCCAGCCGCCCGGGCGCCUCCCAGACCUCGGCCGGCGCCGCCGCCAAUCCCGCCGCUACCUCGGCGGCCUCCCCGCCCGCGAGCACCCCCCCCACGCCCACGCCCACCCCCACGCCCACCCCCGCCCCGUCGGCCGCGGCCGCCAACCCUACGCAGCCCAUCCAGCUGAGGGACCUGCAGAGCAUCCUGGCGACCAUGAACGUGCCCGCCGGCGGCGCCGGAGUGGACUUGGCCAGUGCCCUGACGCCAGAGGUGAUGGCCCCCAUCCUGGCCAAUCCUGACGUGCAGCAGCGGCUGAUGCCCUUCCUGCCCAGCGGGGAGUCGCUGCUCCAGAGCACGGACGAGCUCCACAACACGCUCACCUCGCCGCAGUUUCAGCAGGCAAAGUGGUUUUGACACAGCGAUGAGCAUGUUCAGCAGCGCUCUGGCGUCGGGGCAGUUGGGCCCUCUGAUGAACCAGUUCGGCUUGCCGACGGAGGCCGUGGACGCCGCCAACAACGGAGAUCUGGAGGCUUUCGCAAAAGCCAUGGAGACGGAGACCAAGUCCGAGCAGGAUGGAGAGUCCAAAGACAAAAAGGAUGACGACGAGGACAUGAGCUUGGACUAAGAAUAACUCUUUAUGGAUUAUUAGGAUGAUGGGGUUUGAAUCUAUCGCAGCUCGAACGCAUUUCAAUAAUAAAUCCUGCAUCGACUUCAA
This is an RNA transcript of Syngnathoides biaculeatus (alligator pipefish), 1578 nucleotides long. It is a transcript of the gene named ADRM1 26S proteasome ubiquitin receptor, with no coding region annotated. The record is from RefSeq and is a predicted model, not a curated record. NCBI's taxonomy places the organism in Eukaryota, Metazoa, Chordata, Actinopteri, Syngnathiformes, Syngnathidae. The transcript has 10 exons.